UAAGACAGAGGGGGCAAGCGUUGCUCGGAAUCACUGGGCGUAAAGGGCGCGUAGGCGGGAUGGCAAGUCGGUCGUGAAAUCUCUCGGCUCAACCGAGAAACGUCGGCCGAUACUGCCGUUCUUGAGGGAUGCAGAGGAGACUGGAAUUCCCGGUGUAGCGGUGAAAUGUGUAGAGAUC
Molecule: ribosomal RNA, 178 nt
Filed under: uncultured bacterium
Lineage: Bacteria
Description: partial 16S ribosomal RNA
Rfam family: Bacterial small subunit ribosomal RNA
Source: RNAcentral